RNAcentral lists this ribosomal RNA (440 nucleotides) under uncultured bacterium. Its description in RNAcentral is "partial 16S ribosomal RNA". It matches the Rfam family "Bacterial small subunit ribosomal RNA", at positions 338 to 795 of the family's 1533-position model. The record is from RNAcentral.
CCUACGGAAGGCAGCAGUGGGGGAUAUUGCACAAUGGGGGGAACGCUGAUGCAGCGACGCCGCGUGGGUGAAGAAGCGCCUCGGGUCGGUAAGCCCUGUCAGCAGGGAAGAAAAUGACGGUACCUGAAGAAGAAGCCCCGGCUAACUACGUGCCAGCAGCCGCGGUAAUACGGAGGGGGCAAGCGUUAUCCGGAUUUACUGGGUGUAAAGGGGGCGCAGACGGCGAUGCAAGCCAGGAGUGAAAGCCCGGGGCCCAACCCCGGGACUGCUCUUGGAACUGGGUGGCUGGAGUGCAGGAGGGGCAGGCGGAAUGCCUGGUGUAGCGGUGAAAUGCGUAGAUAUCAGGAGGAACACCGGUGGCGAAGGCGGCCUGCUGGGCUGUAACUGACGUUGAGGCCCGAAAGCGUGGGGAGCAGACAGGAUUAGAUACCCUUGUAGUC